RNAcentral lists this ribosomal RNA (508 nucleotides) under uncultured bacterium. Its description in RNAcentral is "bacterial SSU rRNA". It matches the Rfam family "Bacterial small subunit ribosomal RNA", at positions 501 to 1009 of the family's 1533-position model. The record is from RNAcentral.
CUACGUGCCAGCAGCCGCGGUAAUACGUAGGUCCCGAGCGUUGUCCGGAUUUAUUGGGCGUAAAGCGAGCGCAGGCGGUUAGAUAAGUCUGAAGUUAAAGGCUGUGGCUUAACCAUAGUACGCUUUGGAAACUGUUUAACUUGAGUGCAAGAGGGGAGAGUGGAAUUCCAUGUGUAGCGGUGAAAUGCGUAGAUAUAUGGAGGAACACCGGUGGCGAAAGCGGCUCUCUGGUCUGUAACUGACGCUGAGGCUCGAAAGCGUGGGGAGCGAACAGGAUUAGAUACCCUGGUAGUCCACGCCGUAAACGAUGUCGACUUGGAGGUUGUGCCCUUGAGGCGUGGCUUCCGGAGCUAACGCGUUAAGUCGACCGCCUGGGGAGUACGGCCGCAAGGUUAAAACUCAAAUGAAUUGACGGGGGCCCGCACAAGCGGUGGAGCAUGUGGUUUAAUUCGAUGCAACGCGAAGAACCUUACCUACUCUUGACAUCCAGAGAAUUCGCUAGAGAUAG